ACUCCUACGGGAGGCAGCAGUGGGGAAUAUUGCACAAUGGGCGCAAGCCUGAUGCAGCCAUGCCGCGUGUGUGAAGAAGGCCUUCGGGUUGUAAAGCACUUUCAGUCGUGAGGAAGGUAGUGUAGUUAAUAGCUGCAUUAUUUGUACGUUAGCGACAGAAGAAGCACCGGCUAACUCCGUGCCAGCAGCCGCGGUAAUACGGAGGGUGCGAGCGUUAAUCGGAAUUACUGGGCGUAAAGCGCAUGCAGGUGGUUGUUAAGUCAGAUGUGAAAGCCCGGGGCUCAACCUCGGAAUAGCAUUUGAAACUGGCAGACUAGAGUACUGUAGAGGGGGUAGGAAUUUCAGGUGUAGCGGUGAAAUGCGUAGAGAUCUGAAGGAAUACCGGU
This 386-nucleotide ribosomal RNA is filed under the name uncultured bacterium. RNAcentral describes it as "bacterial SSU rRNA". It matches the Rfam family "Bacterial small subunit ribosomal RNA", at positions 335 to 713 of the family's 1533-position model. The record is from RNAcentral.